RNAcentral lists this ribosomal RNA (253 nucleotides) under uncultured bacterium. RNAcentral describes it as "partial 16S ribosomal RNA". It matches the Rfam family "Archaeal small subunit ribosomal RNA", at positions 474 to 727 of the family's 1478-position model. The record is from RNAcentral.
UACCAGCACCCCGAGUGGUCGGGACGAUUAUUGGGCCUAAAGCAUCCGUAGCCGGUUCUACAAGUCUUCCGUUAAAUCCACCUGCUUAACAGAUGGGCUGCGGAAGAUACUAUAGAGCUAGGAGGCGGGAGAGGCAAGCGGUACUCGAUGGGUAGGGGUAAAAUCCGUUGAUCCAUUGAAGACCACCAGUGGCGAAGGCGGCUUGCCAGAAUGCGCUCGACGGUGAGGGAUGAAAGCUGGGGGAGCAAACCGG